RNAcentral lists this ribosomal RNA (253 nucleotides) under uncultured bacterium. RNAcentral describes it as "partial 16S ribosomal RNA". It matches the Rfam family "Bacterial small subunit ribosomal RNA", at positions 524 to 776 of the family's 1533-position model. The record is from RNAcentral.
UACGUAGGUGACAAACGUUAUCCGGAGUUACUGGGCGUAAAGGGCGUGCAGGCGGUCUGUUAAGUCUGGCGUGAAAGCUCUCGGCUAAACCGGGAGAGGUCGUUGGAUACUGACGGACUAGAGGACGGUAGAGGCGUGUGGAAUUCCGGGUGUAGUGGUGAAAUGCGUAGAGAUCCGGAGGAACACCAGUGGCGAAGGCGACACGCUGGGCCGUACCUGACGCUAAGACGCGACAGCAUGGGGAGCGAACGGG